GAUGAAGAACGUAGUGAAAUGCAAUACGUAAUGUGAAUUGCAGAAUUCAGUGAAUCAUCGAAUCUUUGAACGCACCUUGCACUCUUUGGUAUUCCGAAGAGUAUGUCUGUUUGAGUGUCAUGAAACUCUCAACCCCCUUGUUUUGUAACGAAGCAGGCGUGGGCUUGGAUUAUGGCUGUCUGCUGGACUCUUUAACUAGAGAUCGGCUCGGCUGAAAUAUACGAGUAACCCAGUUUGAACAUUAACGGCUUGACUCGGCGUAAUAGCUUUAUUUCGCUGAGGACGUUUCACAUCAAGAUAGUGGUGCUUCUAAUGCGUCGUAGCGUCAGCUGCACAACCUUUAAGCUUUAGACCUCAAAUCAGUCAGGACUACCCGCUGAACUUAAGCAUAUCAAUAAGCGGAGGA
This 406-nucleotide unclassified non-coding RNA is filed under the name soil metagenome. RNAcentral's name for it is "partial contains 5.8S ribosomal RNA, internal transcribed spacer 2, and large subunit ribosomal RNA". The stretch from base 1 to 120 matches the Rfam family "5.8S ribosomal RNA", at positions 35 to 154 of the family's 154-position model. The record is from RNAcentral.